Molecule: ribosomal RNA, 292 nt
Filed under: uncultured bacterium
Lineage: Bacteria
Description: partial 16S ribosomal RNA
Source: RNAcentral
GGACUACACGGGUUUCUAAUCCCGUUCGCUCCCCUGGCUUUCGUGUCUCAGCGUCAGCACACCCCCAGUCAGCUGUUUUCACCGUUGGCGUUCCAAAUGAUAUCUACGCAUUUCACCGCUCCACCAUUUGUUCCGCUGACCCCUAGGUGGCUCAAGACCGCCAGUCUGCCCAGCCGUUCCCCGGUUGAGCCGGGGGAUUUCACAAGGCACUUAACGAUCCGCCUACACACGCUUUAAGCCCAGUGAUUCCGCCUAACGCUUGGCACCUCUGUCUUACCGCGGCUGCUGGCAC